Molecule: ribosomal RNA, 404 nt
Filed under: uncultured bacterium
Lineage: Bacteria
Description: partial 16S ribosomal RNA
Rfam family: Bacterial small subunit ribosomal RNA
Source: RNAcentral
AUUGAACGCUGGCGGCAGGCCUAACACAUGCAAGUCGAGCGAGCGGCGGACGGGUGAGUAAUGCCUGGGACUUGCCCAGUCGAGGGGGAUAACAGUUGGAAACGACUGCUAAUCCCGCAUACGAUUUGCUUGCCCAGGUGGGAUUAGCUAGUUGGUUAGGUAAUGGCUCACCAAGGCGACGAUCCCUAGCUGGUCUGCGGGGAUGAUCAGCCACACUGGAACGGAGACACGGUCCAGACUCCUCCGGGAGGCAGCAGGGGGGAAUAUUGGACAAUGGGGGAAACCCUGAUGCAGCAAUGCCGCGUGUGUGAAGAAGGCCUUCGGGUUGUAAAGCACUUUCAGCGAGGAGGCGUUACUCGCAGAAGAAGCACCGGAUAACUCCGUGCCAGCCGCCGCGGUAAUAC